CAGGGGAAGAGGAAUCACUUGAGCCCCUCGCCUCAGCGCGCCUCAUAGCACAGCGCGUCCACAAGAGAGUGGGACGAGGAAAGGAAAGGUUCACUGGCAGAUAAUUCAUUUUACGAGCUAGCGAGAAGUCAAAGGCGGACGAACUCAAACCUAACCCGCCAAUGAUCGCGUCGGCGAAUAUUAAGCCGGGACGGGGUUAAACGGCUUCCAAAAAGUUGCGCUGCGCCUCCAUCAUGAUGCUCCUCGGGGGCUCCUCGUCCGUCGGCCAAGCCAGGCCGAGCCGGCGGGCCGAGCCGUAAGUCGCGAAGAGUUGGGCCGGGCCGAGGCCGAGGCCCAGGCCGAGGCCCAGGCCGAGGCCCCGUCACGCCGCUGUAAAGCUUCAUUACUGGCACUUAGGCCCUUUGAAGGGCUUGAAUAAAGUGGCUCCGUUACGUUAUCCGCUCGCCCCAUUUGCCCCUCCGCCGCCGUGGCGCGCCGCUCGUGCGGAGGCACCGGGGGAAGCGGCCGUGCGAAAACGAAUUUAAGCAUCGGAGCAGUGGCGGCAUGAAAACAUCUUCAAGUAUUCCGUUUGCGAAUAUCACGUCACUCUCCGUUCCGAAAUCUUAUCAGGGCACGGCAAAGCAACGGCAACGGCUGGGACCUGCACGGGGUUGUUAGACGCAGCCCGACGGGUGCGAUAUUGCAAAAUGCAUCGUUGACGUGAGCGCAGGACGCGGCGUGUGCGCUGACGUCCCCCCACAGACUGACUGACGCCUCUGUCAUCACCGCCACUGUCUGCCCUCCACGGCGCCCUGCUGCUGCCGCUGCUACUGUGGGUCCCUGCAUUGUCGAUCCGCCCACCGUUAUGCCACCGGUGCUCCUCCUUCUGACAAUCCCUCGCAUAAUACGAAUGGGGGAGGGGGCGGGGAAUCCCCCAAAUAGUGGGAAAGUGCUUCGGGUGGAAAUAGAGUCUAUUUUGUUUUCAAAGUUACCACUAUAUUGCAGAUCCCGAGUGUGAGUUUUGCUAGUUUUUCUUAGUUUUCCUAGUACCGUAAUAAUUAUACUUCAAAAACGCGGGCAGCCGCUCAGGAGCAAGUGUGGAGGUGUAGCUUGUACUUAAU
Long non-coding RNA from Frankliniella occidentalis (western flower thrips), 1100 nucleotides. RefSeq lists it as uncharacterized. The transcript is spliced from 3 exons. The record is from RefSeq and is a predicted model, not a curated record. NCBI's taxonomy places the organism in Eukaryota, Metazoa, Arthropoda, Insecta, Thysanoptera, Thripidae.